GGAGCUCUACGCCGAAGGGCUAGCGAUCCGCGGCGGCCCCGCGUCAUGCGUCGACGACCCGCGAGGGCGUGGCGAAGCGUUGACAGGGGGUAUGUGCAGGCCGGGCUAUUGAGCCGCGAAAUGAUGCGAUCGGGGUGCCCACGUUGUACAAGAGGCGGAAGGCAACAUCGCUGGCGGCGCUUUCGCGAGCCGUUGGUGGACCCCGCGUGGUCAAAGAUCC
Mycobacterium kansasii 732 is the source of this 220-nucleotide non-coding RNA. NCBI's taxonomy places the organism in Bacteria, Bacillati, Actinomycetota, Actinomycetes, Mycobacteriales, Mycobacteriaceae. The record is from Rfam.